This 287-nucleotide ribosomal RNA is filed under the name uncultured Actinomycetes bacterium. RNAcentral's name for it is "uncultured actinobacterium partial 16S ribosomal RNA". It matches the Rfam family "Bacterial small subunit ribosomal RNA", at positions 55 to 339 of the family's 1533-position model. Lineage: Bacteria; Bacillati; Actinomycetota; Actinomycetes. The record is from RNAcentral.
AUGCAAGUCGAACGGUUAAGACGCACUUCGGUGCGUGCAUAGAGUGGCGAACGGCUGAGUAACACGUGGGCAACCUGCCCCCCGCACCGGGAUAGCCUCGCGAAAGCGUGAUUAAUACCGGGUACUCCGGCACCUCCGCAUGGCGGUGCCGGGAGAGCGUUAGCGGCGGGGGAUGGGCCCGCGGCCUGUUAGCUAGUUGGCGGGGCAACGGCCCACCAAGGCGAUUAUGGGUAGCCGGGUUGAGAGACCGACCGGCCAGAUUGGGACUGAGACACGGCCCAGACUCC